GGUCUCAUGGUGUAAUGGUUAGCAUCCUGGACUUUGAAUCCAGAGACCCGAGUUCGAGUCUCGGUGGGACCU
This 72-nucleotide transfer RNA is filed under the name Portunus trituberculatus (swimming crab). RNAcentral describes it as "tRNA-Gln". It matches the Rfam family "tRNA". Rfam says of the family: Transfer RNA (tRNA) molecules are approximately 80 nucleotides in length. Their secondary structure includes four short double-helical elements and three loops (D, anti-codon, and T loops). Lineage: Eukaryota; Metazoa; Arthropoda; Malacostraca; Decapoda; Portunidae. The record is from Rfam by way of RNAcentral.